GACGAACGCUGGCGGCGUGCUUAACACAUGCAAGUCGAACGGAAAGGCCCUGCUUUUGUGGGGUGCUCGAGUGGCGAACGGGUGAGUAACACGUGAGUAACCUGCCCUUGACUUUGGGAUAACUUCAGGAAACUGGGGCUAAUACCGGAUAGGAGCUCCUGCUGCAUGGUGGGGGUUGGAAAGUUUCGGCGGUUGGGGAUGGACUCGCGGCUUAUCAGCUUGUUGGUGGGGUAGUGGCUUACCAAGGCUUUGACGGGUAGCCGGCCUGAGAGGGUGACCGGCCACAUUGGGACUGAGAUGCGGCCCAGACUCCUACGGGAGGCAGCAGUGGGGAAUAUUGCACAAUGGGCGGAAGCCUGAUGCAGCAACGCCGCGUGCGGGAUGACGGCCUUCGGGUUGUAAACCGCUUUCGCCUGUGACGAAGCGUGAGUGACGGUAAUGGGUAAAGAGGCACCGGCUAACUACGUG
This 468-nucleotide ribosomal RNA is filed under the name uncultured bacterium. Its description in RNAcentral is "partial 16S ribosomal RNA". It matches the Rfam family "Bacterial small subunit ribosomal RNA", at positions 28 to 507 of the family's 1533-position model. The record is from RNAcentral.